RNAcentral lists this ribosomal RNA (441 nucleotides) under uncultured bacterium. RNAcentral describes it as "bacterial SSU rRNA". It matches the Rfam family "Bacterial small subunit ribosomal RNA", at positions 335 to 797 of the family's 1533-position model. The record is from RNAcentral.
ACUCCUACGGGAGGCAGCAGUGGGGAAUCUUGGACAAUGGGCGCAAGCCUGAUCCAGCCAUGCCGCGUGAGUGAUGAAGGCCUUAGGGUCGUAAAGCUCUUUCGCCUGUGAAGAUAAUGACUGUAGCAGGUAAAGAAACCCGCGUACAUCCGUGCCAGCAGCCGCGGUAAUACGGAGGGGGUUAGCGUUGUUCGGAAUUACUGGGCGUAAAGCGCGCGUAGGCUGACUAUUAAGUCAGGGGUGAAAUCCCGGGGCUCAACCCGAACGGACCUGCAUACUGUAGUCUUGAGUUCGAGAGAGGUGAGUGGAAUUCCGAGUGUAGAGGUGAAAUUCGUAGAUAUUCGGAGGAACACCAGUGGCGAAGGCGGCUCACUGGCUCGAUACUGACGCUGAGGUGCGAAAGUGUGGGGAGCAAACAGGAUUAGAUACCCUGGUAGGUGA